RNAcentral lists this ribosomal RNA (766 nucleotides) under Bacillus subtilis. RNAcentral describes it as "bacterial SSU rRNA". It matches the Rfam family "Bacterial small subunit ribosomal RNA", at positions 325 to 1081 of the family's 1533-position model. Lineage: Bacteria; Bacillati; Bacillota; Bacilli; Caryophanales; Bacillaceae. The record is from RNAcentral.
CACGGCCCAGACUCCUACGGGAGGCAGCAGUAGGGAAUCUUCCGCAAUGGACGAAAGUCUGACGGAGCAACGCCGCGUGAGUGAUGAAGGUUUUCGGAUCGUAAAGCUCUGUUGUUAGGGAAGAACAAGUACCGUUCGAAUAGGGCGGUACCUUGACGGUACCUAACCAGAAAGCCACGGCUAACUACGUGCCAGCAGCCGCGGUAAUACGUAGGUGGCAAGCGUUGUCCGGAAUUAUUGGGCGUAAAGGGCUCGCAGGCGGUUUCUUAAGUCUGAUGUGAAAGCCCCCGGCUCAACCGGGGAGGGUCAUUGGAAACUGGGGAACUCGAGUGCAGAAGAGGAGAGUGGAAUUCCACGUGUAGCGGUGAAAUGCGUAGAGAUGUGGAGGAACACCAGUGGCGAAGGCGACUCUCCGGUCUGUAACUGACGCUGAGGAGCGUAAGCGUGGGGAGCGAACAGGAUUAGAUACCCUGGUAGUCCACGCCGUAAACGAUGAGUGCUAAGUGUUAGGGGGUUUCCGCCCCUUAGUGCUGCAGCUAACGCAUUAAGCACUCCGCCUGGGGAGUACGGUCGCAAGACUGAAACUCAAAGGAAUUGACGGGGGCCCGCACAAGCGGUGGAGCAUGUGGUUUAAUUCGAAGCAACGCGAAGAACCUUACCAGGUCUUGACAUCCUCUGACAAUCCUAGAAAUAGGACGUCCCCUUCGGGGGCAGAGUGACAGGUGGCGCAUGGUUGUCGUCAGCUCGUGUCGUGAGAUGUUGGGUU